This 58-nucleotide transfer RNA is filed under the name Loxodonta africana (African savanna elephant). It matches the Rfam family "tRNA", at positions 8 to 63 of the family's 71-position model. From Rfam's summary of the family: Transfer RNA (tRNA) molecules are approximately 80 nucleotides in length. Their secondary structure includes four short double-helical elements and three loops (D, anti-codon, and T loops). Lineage: Eukaryota; Metazoa; Chordata; Mammalia; Proboscidea; Elephantidae. The record is from Rfam by way of RNAcentral.
UGGUGUAAUGGUUAAAGCAUUCGGCUGUUAACCCAAAGGUCAGUGGUUCAAACCCACU